ACUCCUACGGGAGGCAGCAGUGGGUAAUAUUGGACAAUGGGCGCAAGCCUGAUCCAGCAAUGCCGCGUGUGUGAAGAAGGCCUUCGGGUUGUAAAGCACUUUUAUCAGGAGCGAAAUACUGCGGGUUAAUACCCUGCGGGCUGACGUAC
This 149-nucleotide ribosomal RNA is filed under the name uncultured Lysobacteraceae bacterium. RNAcentral's name for it is "uncultured Xanthomonadaceae bacterium partial 16S ribosomal RNA". It matches the Rfam family "Bacterial small subunit ribosomal RNA", at positions 335 to 478 of the family's 1533-position model. The record is from RNAcentral. Lineage: Bacteria; Pseudomonadati; Pseudomonadota; Gammaproteobacteria; Lysobacterales; Lysobacteraceae.